Ixodes scapularis (black-legged tick) is the source of this 1667-nucleotide long non-coding RNA. RefSeq lists it as uncharacterized. The record is from RefSeq and is a predicted model, not a curated record. The transcript has 2 exons. Lineage: Eukaryota; Metazoa; Arthropoda; Arachnida; Ixodida; Ixodidae.
GCGUUUUUCUGUUGUGGCUUUCAUGUCUGCGUGCAUGGCUAUAUUGUCACGAAUAACAAAUGGUGAGGCGGCGAAUAACUGACAAAACUAAACGUUUAACGGGGAAAACUUGUGCCCAAAACAAAAUAGAGAAAGGCUAGUGUCGCAGACGUCGAAGCAGCAGGAUUGAGCGCUAGGAAGAGACUGACUUCGCUCGCCAUGCGGAGUCCCUUUUGUAGUCACGUGGGUCUCUGGAACAUUCGGCCUAGACAUUUCGGUGCGUAGAACAUUCGUAGCUUGAUCAGACAAGAAAUUUCUCGAAUUUGCGAGAACGCCAAGUAGAAAGAAUAAAUAAAAGAACAUUCCGCUGCCUGGAAUCAAACCCAAAUCUUCUGCGCUACAAUCAAGUGCAGUAACCAUUUGGCCACGUACGCGCUCGCUCAGCGACGUGUGUGGCAAUAUUAGAAGAAAGCUGUGUUACAGCAAGAUUAUCUUCAGCCUCGUCGGACUCGCCAUCACGGGUUUUUCUAAUUGCAGCACAUUGCUCCAUCUCCCAACAGAAGCACCAAACAUUGCUUUCGGCCAUCUGCGUCCUGACGCAGGUUGCUGAUGCUUUGCAAAAACAAAGCUGCACCUUUCGAUUCCACAAGUACCUCUUCUCAACCGAGGCAACAUGGUCAACCUCGACAAGCUGGCUACCGACCAGUACCACGUGUGCCGUGUCCGCGGCAUCCAGCGUCUUGCAUUUGCGCUCGGCAAGGCACUCGCAAAACUUUAUGGUAAUUCUAUCCUUGGUGGGUGCUGUGCCCCAUUCUAACCUUUCGAAGUCCACAGGUGUUUAAGAUGUGGAGCCUGUGGCCAGUGGGGAGGUGUAUGUCUCCAAUUUGCCAGACCCUAGCACUAGCUAAGUUACCGCCGAAUUCACAAACCUCAUUUCAAUUGAGGCGCCCCUCCACUUCCUCAAGGAAGGUGUGAGGGCCGGUGCUGGGGGGGGGCCAGUCGCGACGACAAAUAGGCGGCCUAGGCUGCUUAGCCGUCCUCGCGAUUGGCCAGUGCCGUCCCUCGUGCCUUCCUUGAGGAAGUGGGGGGGUGCCUCAAUUGGAAUAAAGGUUUGUGAAUUCGGCAGUUAGUGUCUCUUUUCCCCUAUGUGCGAUCCCAGCCAUUAUGAGCUAGAAUGAAGAGCUUUCCUACAAGAACCUUUCUAAUCCGUUAUUUCAAAGUUUGUUUAUUUCUGAAGAGCAUCUCAGUGCCUGCAUUUUGAUGUCAUAAUACUCUACUCUAAGAUCUCAAAAGGUAGUCCACCCCUAUUUUUGGCUUGAUUUGCUUUACUUUUUAAACACCGAAAGAUAGACUACUUCAAGUAAUAGUAGUGUUGGGAUCAGUGAUGGCCUCGACACAAAUGCGGCUAGUUAGCUGUGGCGGGAUACAAGUGAAUGUUGCUGACUGGGAAGUACAUACCUCGGGAUUUUAUGGUAUGUGCCAAAUAGCUUUAAAAAUGAAGGGAUCUGCAGAGAUGCUUGAAAAAUCAUCACUUUUCUCGUGGUAAGGAACGAAUUCAGGGCCAUAGAAGAACUGCAACAAAUUGUGUAGUUGGGCUAGUUGGUUGGUCAUUUUGAAAUGGUAUCUGUCUGCUUCUUUUUAUGUUUACUUACUGUACCAUGCAGAAGUAAAAUUUUCAGUCGUAAGUG